CACUUAUAUAUGGAAUUCUUUACACUUUUGAAGGCUCUACGGAGAGAUGCAACUCAUAUACACACAUAUCUGCGACCUUUCCAGUCGCCUUCUCGUUCAGCUGCUAUCCACUACCUGCUCUGGGUAGGGGCCUUCCAAAGCUACAGGCAAACAAUUGCUGCAUUCCAGAAGUCACCGCUAAAACGCGGCAACGCUACAGGACCUGAGCGCUCCCAGUCGUUGCUUCGCUUCUACAAGCAGCACCAACGGCGACGCUACAUCUUGGAACACUUUCAGCGUUCCCUUCCAUUCGGUAUAGUACACUCCUUCACGGCUCUCAAUAUAUAUGGUUCCAUGUGAAAAUCCCUACACAGUUUAAUCAGCUGCUAGGCACUGCAUAUUAAUAUUAAUGAGUAAUAUUGACGAAACAAUUCAGAAGUGACUGAUUUCUCAUCCGUGGGGCUGCCUUGACAGCGAUCUUAGUGAGAAUUGUUGACUUCUAGCGACUCAGCGACUUCUACUCUGAGCGCUUCUCGUCGGUGCGUUACGCACCUGGUGGUCUCGCUACAUAUGUUGGUCUUCUCGACGGUCCAAUUAAAAAACGGCAGGAGCACAACUACGAACUACGUAUGAACAUGGAAACUGCUAUUAGUUCGUUCAGCUUCGUAGGAUAUAAUAAGGGACUUCUCAGGGUUGCGCUCGCAAAUACAUUCGAACCAAACACACACAUCGUUUCACCAUCCAUAUUUAAAGCUCUACGGAUGGAACAACUCAGAGGGGAUAAAUGCACGUAUCAGCUACCAGCUCCACUGAAUACUGAUCAUCAUGAC
This is a long non-coding RNA of Drosophila persimilis, 809 nucleotides long. RefSeq lists it as uncharacterized. The transcript has 4 exons. NCBI's taxonomy places the organism in Eukaryota, Metazoa, Arthropoda, Insecta, Diptera, Drosophilidae. The record is from RefSeq and is a predicted model, not a curated record.